UUCCGACAGCUUGCUGCCCUAGACCAGAGUUGGUGGCUGGACCUCCUGCGACUUCCGAGUUGCGAUGCUGUACUUCUCUUUGUUCUGGGCGGCUCGGCCUCUGCAGAGAUGUGGGCAGCUGGUCAGGAUGGCCAUUCGGGCUCAGCACAGCAACGCAGCCCAGACUCAGACUGGGGAAGCAAACAGGGGCUGGACAGGCCAGGAGAGCCUGUCGGACAGUGAUCCUGAGAUGUGGGAGUUGCUACAGAGGGAGAAGGACAGGCAGUGUCGUGGCCUGGAGCUCAUUGCCUCAGAGAACUUCUGCAGCCGAGCUGCGCUGGAGGCCCUGGGGUCCUGUCUGAACAACAAGUACUCGGAGGGUUAUCCUGGCAAGAGGUGAGGGCUGGAGGGCAGUGUCAGGGAUGGUGCUCCCAGUGGGGGAACCCACCUGUACCUUCCCAGUGUUCAUUGAGGAGUGAACUUCCCAGUCCUUUGCUGAUGGUUGAGAGUCCUUUCUCUGUACCCUCAUUACCCCUCUCCCACGGCAGAUACUAUGGGGGAGCAGAGGUGGUGGAUGAAAUUGAGCUGCUGUGCCAGCGCCGGGC
Molecule: small RNA, 584 nt
Filed under: Pongo abelii (Sumatran orangutan)
Lineage: Eukaryota; Metazoa; Chordata; Mammalia; Primates; Hominidae
Description: retained intron
Source: RNAcentral